UUUUUUUUUUUUUUUUUUGUGUACAAUAAAAUUCCAAAAUUUUAUAUUUCUUUUUAAUUAUAAAUACCAUCGAAGUUUUUAAGGUAAAAAAUAAAGUUCUGAAUUCUGAAUUUUUAUUUUGUUUUAAUAAAUAACAUCUCAAAAUUUUUACUUUUUUUAUUAAUUUUUUAAAUAUUUUUUUUUGUAGAAUUUGUCAUAAACUAAAACUUUUAAAAAUGGUAGAUUUUACAAAAUAUUUACAACUUAUAAAAAAUUCUAUCACUCAGGAUCAUGAUCAUUGAUAUUUUGUAAAUAUUUUAAUUUAUUUUGUUAUUUUUAAAAAUGUCCAAAAAAAUGAAAUUAUUUACAAAAUCUAACCAACAAUUGAAAUGAGUUACAGAAAUUUUGCUAUAUUUUGUAAAUAGUUUCAAUAUGUUGUUAUUUUUUAAAACGCCUCAUUUUUGUUAUCAUAUCUUAUUGGCAAAUAACACUUUAAAUUUUUUUAUUUUUUAAUUUAUUGAACAAAUAAUAUCCCAAAAUUUUGGAUUUUUUUUUGUAUGAAUACCAAACAAACAAAAGAAAUAGUUGCUUAAAUUAUUAUUAAAAAAAGACUAAAAACAAAUAAGAGAAUUCUCAAAAAUAGCAAAUUUGACAAAAUAUUUACCAUAGUGAAAUUUUCAGAUUCUAUCAAUAAUAGGUAUUGAUAGACACUGAUAUGCUUCUAUUAGCGACAUCGAUACACAAUGAUAGAAAACUAUCAGCUCCUAUUAUUGAUAGGAUAUAAAAUUUUGCUAUAACUUGUAAAUAUUUUAAUUUAUUUUGCUAUUUCUAGAAAGAAUUUGUUUUUCAAAAAUAAAACAAAUCGCGAAAAUAUUUACAUCGUAUAAAAUAAUUUUAAAAAAGGAAAAGAUCUUCAAAGUGAAAUAACAAAAUUACCCCUAUGAUUAAUCAGUCACACACGUGUGAAAAACGAUUUUAUACACACUCUAAAUGAUCUCGUACCCAAUCUAAAUGAUCUCUUAGCAAUGAUCUUGAAGCAAGUCUACACGAUCUUUGUACUUGUAUACCAAGUCUAAACGAUCUUAUACCAAAUCAAAACGAUCUACUAGUGAUAGUGGUUUAUCUCUAUUUAUUUGGGAUAGACAACUAAUUGUUUAGAUAUUUACACAUGAUUGUUUAGAUCUUGUACCAAGAAGAAGAAAAAAAAGAAGAUGAGAAAUAAAGAAGAAAGAAAUUUUGGAAGAAGAAAUGAAGAAAUUGUCAAAUAUUUAUAUAAAUAAUCAUAAUAUUAUAAAAUGAAUAAGAAGUAAUAGUGAGAAGAAAUGAAUAAUAUGAAGAGGUGAUAAAUAAAUCACAAAACAAAAAAACUUGAAAUUUAUGAAAAUAUAGAAAUAAAAACAUUUAAACAAUUGAAAUUAAUAUUAGUUUGGUGGAAAUUGAAAUUAAUUAAAUAAUUUGAUGUUAAAAAUAUUUAAAUAAAUACAAAUUAAUUACUAUAGUGUUAAUUAAUAGAAAUAUAUAUUUUAAAUGGUAAAAUGAAUUAAUUUUAGGUUUUGAUAGACGGACGUGAAUAUAUAUGACUUUAGUAAUAAAAAUCGGAAAAUGAAUUACUAACAAUAAUUUAAUUAAAUAGUUAAAAGGUAAUAACAGAUUAUCUAAAAAAUAGAAAUUAAUUUUGGUGGGAAAUUGAGAAGAUAUAUAUUUGUUGAGUAUCCUAUAAGAACUAUGUGGGGGAAGCCGAAUGAGAAUGAGGUAAGCAGGAAUUGGCAGUUAAUAAUAUAUUUGGAAAAACAACCAAACCUACGAAUUUUAAUUACGUUGACGUUGAAAUUCUCAACACGUAUUAGUAUUGCAUGCACCACCUCAAUAAACAAUAAAUAGUAUAAGUUUGAAAGUCCUUGCAAUUUAAUCUACGAUCCACCUCAAUACCUUUUUAAUCUUAUAGUUUAACCAUACACCUUAUAACAGCCAUACAAUUAUUUACAUAUUCUACUAUCCACUGAUUAACUUGAAAAGUCCAUCAUCAGUGUAUUUGAACAAAACCCAAUUGUUGUUCUUGCAUGGUUUAUAGGUUUUGAACUUUUUCCUCGUAUUUUAUGUUGGCCGUCUUUGAUAUUUAAUAUAUGAUCUUUCUUACAUGUCAAAAGCAAAUAAUAAAAAGAGAGAGAAAAGAAAAGAAACAACCUUAGGACCAAGUAUAUUAUUAUUAGGUCUUUAAUAUAAGAUGAAACUAUAUGUUACUAGAUUUAUGUAUCCAACAACAGUAUGAAUGCACCAGGUAAUUGCGAUUUUAAUUUUAAUGCUUGACAGGACUGAAUCUAUGGUGUUUGCAUAAAAAAAACAGGUGUAAAUAUUAUAUAUGUGUGUUUGAAAAUCAAAUUUGUAAUAUUAAACCAUGAGUUUAGACGAAUAGGCAGAGAGAAUUGGCUAGGUAGGAGAGUGAAACAAUAAUGAUAGUCCAAAUUAAAUGAAUUGAUGCAAUCAAAAUGGCCGAGUUGAUUCCUUGUCUAUUUUAGUUGCUUUUACUUCCAAUUUAUUUCAACUUUUUAUUGUUUGAUUGGCUACCACGUUUUGAUUGAAUCAAAUCAAAUUAGUUAAAUUGUUUUUUAUUCUAAAAGAGAUAAACUAAAUUACAUGAAAUACACAUUGACCUUGACCUUGACCUUUUGCACCUUCAUCAAAAAUAUUUCUUCUUUUAAAACUUUAGAAGAUACUUUCAAACUUUAAAAAAGAGUUAAAAAUAUAUAUAUUCUUGUCAUUAGCUUUAGAGGAAAAUUAUUAAAUUUUAAGAAUAUCAAGUAAAAGAAAAUAUUCGAGACCACCGUAAAAAAAUAUAUGAGAAAUUGCAUGGGAUAGCUCUAAAAAUAUGAUAUAGCAAUUAUAACACAUUGUUUUGUAUAAUAGAAUUUUACGAAUAUGACAAAAUUUUCACUUCAUCAUCUUAAAUUUUUUAUUAUUCAUGAACUACCAUUCAAUAAUAGCUUAUUUCUCUUUCUCUUUUAAAUGUUGUACUCAUUAUUUAUUUAUUCUCCUACUUUUCAAGGCUUUAAGUAUUUGUUUAUUCUUAUACUAGAAUUUUUUUUUUGUCUUAAUCUUAAUUUCAAAAUAUCAAUAGUACAAUAAUUGCAAUAUGGAAUAUAAUAUAAUGGUUGUUGAAUCGGAGGAAUUUAAAUUUAUUUGUGAUUUUCUUUUUACUUUCUUCAAUGUGUAUUUUGAAUUGAAUUUGAGUCCAAAUGAUUUUGUUUUAUUCUUUUACAUUAAUUGUUUUGGUUUUACUUUGUCUCAGUUUCGUAUAUUAGUGUUGUGAUAUACUUAUAUUAUAUGUAUUAGUUGGUUAUGCAGUUCAUUAGAAUAAGGUAUAAUAAAGUAUAUAAAAAAUUUAAUAAAGUUAUCAGAAUUUUGUAUCAAAAGGUAUCGAGUGUAUCAAAAAGUAUCAGGUGCAUCAAGUGUAUCAAUCAAAUGUAUCAUGUGUAUCAAGACGUAUUGGGUGUAUCAAACGUAUAUCAGUAACAAGCGCUUUUGUGACAUUUUACCUCUUGGUGUAUGGGCUGAGUUUCGAUUUUUUCAUUUUCGUAAAUAAUAAAGUGUGUGUGGUAUGAAGUUAGUUAUUAUAACUUAUUUUAUUUGUUGGAAGUGUCCAAAAAAGUAUUUAUAAAUUUUUUAAAAGUUGGCUAAGCAACCUAAUAUUAUAUUAAAAAAAGAGAGGAAGAGUUAAAUAUCUCAUUAUCUCCCUCUUUUCAUUUCCUCACUCUUCUCUACUUUAAUUAAUCUAUGACUUAAUAAUAUUUAGUCCAUAUCUUCUCUAUUUUUCUCAAUUAAACUGUUAAAAGUAUGUGUACUUUUAAAAAUAAACAUAUCUAUAUCUUCUCCUAACAACAACAGUAAAAGUGUUGAGAAAAAUUGAUAAAAUAUUAAAUAAAAAAUAUAUUGUUACCUGAAUUUAACCCUAAUCUCUUAGCCUUUGCAAAGUUGUGUCCCUAUUUGAUCAUUACUAUGACAAUCCAUGCAUGACCAUUUAUGUUUAGUUUAUUGAAAUUCUAAUAUAUCAAUGUAACUUUACAAAUGGGUCUACAUUUGAAAAAUGAAGUGGGUUGACAUAGUAGAGGGUAAGGUUUAAGUGUUUUAUGCCAAUGAAAAUAUGAAAUAUCCAUUAUUCUAAAAGAAAUUAUAAAAACAAUUUUUAUAAUAAGUAAACAUUGUACACUUUUUAAUCAAGUUAAAAAGUUUGUUAUUCAUAUUCUUUCAAUAUUAUUGAUAUAGUUGUUGUUUUAGUUUUUAUGAUAAAAAGUUUCAAUUCAUCCCAUGUAGAAUUUAUAAUGCAGAGAAUGAUAUGUUAGAUAAAAAAAAAUUGUAUGUAAAGAGUAAUGAUACCCAUUUCAUAUGUUUCUCCACCAUAUAACAAAAAAAAAUUAAAAAAUUUUGUUGUUUUCGUAAAGGGAAGGGAUAUGGACAACCAUAGGUAUACAGUUUCAAACCCAAAUAAAGUGGGGGAAUGUACGUAAAAAAUUAAUAAUUUGACUGAAUUUUGAUUACUUCUAUAUUGGGACUAAUUCAACUUUUGUUUUUGCCCUUUUCUUUUUUCUAUAUUAUGAUCCUUUUUCAUAAUAUAAAAGAUCCAUGUAUAGAUUUGAUUUUGCAUGUAUUUCGACUAAUUUAUAGACUUUUUUUUUUUUUGUUAAAUAAACAAUAAUUAAUGGACUUUGAAUUAAUAGAAACACAAAUUGUAAACAAAUGAUAGAUUUUGACCCACAAAUAAUAAAAGUUCAAUUUGACAAAUGUUCUUACUAUUUAAAUUUCGUCUCGAAUUUCAUUGAAAAUUAAAAAAAAAAAAAAAACCAGAAAGAAAAGAGACUUGUCUGAAAUUUUAAAUAUGGUCAAUCACAUAUUUUUUUAUUAGCUUGAAAUUAAAGUUAAUAGGAAAAAUACGAUAAAUCUGUGAAUGUAUUAUGUAUCUACUCGUAUAUGUUGUCAAAAUAAUUAAGUUACACUCCAUCUCAAAAUAACAAGUUAAUUUAGAGGUUGAAGCUCAAUAAAAAAAACUUGAUUUGAAAGUUUCUCAAAAUGAUUAAAAGAUUGAAAUGUAUGAUUUAAUAUAUUUAUUAUAUUGAAUCAUAUAUAAUAAAUGUAUGUUACAAUGUCCAACAUAAAUUUUUUUAAUGUCAUUAAUUUGAGCUACAAUAAAAGAGCUCACAGAUUCAUAAGUUUUUUUCUAUAUUAAAAGAAUCUAUUUCUUUGAUUUUUAAUAGGCCGAGUUCUUAGUUAAAAAUACCUGUUUGAAAUAUAGUUGAAAUAGUCCUUUUAUAAUAAAAUAUUUAGGUUUAAUUGAUUUUUAAACAGUCGGUAUCAAAUUUUUAAAAGUAACUUUUAUAUAUUUAAAAUUAGUUUUCAAUCACCCAUUCUAAAAGUUAAUUUAGAACUCUUUAAUUAGUAAUUAUACUUUUUUUUGUAAAUAAUUAUUUAUUUAAAAAUUAUUGGUAAAGAUAUAUUUCUAUUAUUUUAUUGUAAAAUUUUUAUAUGUAUAUAGUUGAUAUAUAUAGAUAGAUAUCGAAAGAAAAUUCAGAAAACAUAUAUAAAUGUUUGUUUUAUAUGUAAUUUAAUGAACAACCAUUUAAAAUUAAUAUCUGUAAUAUUUUGUUUUAACAAUUUAAAAUUCUUAUCUAUAAUUUAGUGUCGGUCAUUUUUGUUUCAACAUUUAAAAAAAAAAAGAAAAAAAACUCAUAGAUAGUUAUCAAUAUUUUACAUAAAAACUGAAUUAGAAAACUAUUUUAGAAGUGAUUUUUGAUCAAUUAUUAGACAAAAAAAAAUAUCUAUCAUCUAAUUCUUCUAAAAUCAAUUUAAAUAAUUUUAUAUUUUUCUAAAAUCCGUUUUAAUUUGAAAAAGUGAUUUUGACAGGAGAAAUUAUGGUUUUGAUUAACUCAAAAUUACUUCCAAAUGCUUCAGGACUCUAAUUAAAUUCAUUGUGUAUGCUUUAGCUAGAAAGUGAAAAAAAUGUACUUAAAAAAUAGUGAAGUGGUUAGAGAGUUUUUCUAAAAUUGGAAUCAAGGGAGAGAAUUAUUUUUUGUGAUUAUAACAAUUUUUCAGGUGGUGAAUUUUUUUCUUAUCUCUAGUUUUUCUUUAAGUUGGAAGUUAUGUACGUAGAUUCGUGUUACUUGUUUUAAUUUUAUUACUUUAUCUUAAUUUCACUAUUAUUUUUCUUACACGGAAUAAAUGAGUUGGUCUAAACAAAGAUUCCACAGAAAUUAUUUUAUUGGAUAUAUAAUUGGUCCACAUUUGAAUGUUUUUAUGUAACUCAAAGCAUAAUAAAAAUGAUUUGAAUGGUUGAAGAACAUCCAAGCAUGUUAGUUUAAUUAAAAUGGUGAAAACAUACAUAUUACUUUUCCUCUUCUCCCUCUUUACACACUACCAUAUAAUUCCUUUAUGCUUCACCUUCUUGUACCCUUUCAAAUUCUCAAUAUAUAUUGGGCCAAUACGAUUACCUUCAAAUAUUAUUCUCAAUAUAUUGGCAAUUAAUAUGAUUAUCCUUCCCAUGCAAAACUUCAAAUUUCUACCUUCACGUGGUUUUAUUUAACCACUAUCCUUCCAAGACUCUUCUGCUUUCAACCUUCGCGUUGUUAACUUUAUCAUUAGAGUUGUGAUAUUUUAAAUUAUUUUCCUAUACUUGGUUAACUUUAAUUACCAUAGUUAACUCUUUUUUUUUUUUUUUUUUUGUUAAAUUAAAGAUAAAUAUUUAACUUAGAUUCAUCCUACCAAACAUUAAAACUAGAGAUUUAAUUAUAUAAUCAUUUUCCAACUCAUGUCAAGUCAUUUUAAAAAAUGACAAGUCAACAACUCAAUAUGAUCCAGUUUUUAAGUCUUUGAAUUGUCACUACAAACAAUUAUAUAUCUCUUGACGCAUAUAUUCGUCCGAAAAUGCACAAAAUAGCAUUAGGAUCGAAGUUUAAUUAAACUUCUAACGAUGGAAAAAUCAUCAAAAGAUUCGUAAAAGAGACGAUCUUUUGAUUAACACACAUGGUCAUAAAUUUGGGUUUGAAUGACACAGGGUAAAUAACUAAAUUUGAGUUGGAGGAGGCAAAUUGUGUCAUAAAUGUUAGAAAAAGGCGUUUUUGGUCCGAAAACCCUAAUUUUCAAGCUUCAGUUUUUUAAUUGUCAAGCAUCAAUGACAUUUAAUAAACUACAUUAAAUGAUUUUAAUCUUUUUAUGUUACAGAUUUUGAUUGGAUUAUUUAUUAAAAACAAAAUUGGAGCAUCCAUUUUUUUUAUGAUUAUUAAUAAAUUAAAUUUUUAUAUUUAAUAUUUAUUAAUAAAGAUAAGAAAUUAGAUUUGGUUGUUAUAUGUUGGGUUAAUAUUUAAGGAAAACUCAUGACAAAAAAAGAGAAAAAGAAAGUUCAUACCACUUUCAUGUUUUUUUGGAUAUUGUAAAUAUGACAAGUAAAUAGAUAUAUUAUGAGUUUAAUAAUUAUUAUUAUUUAAACUUUUCACGACGUACAACCUGUCACACGUCGUAAAAAGUGUCCGUAUUGAAGUGACAAUAGUCACCUUUUCUCGACAUGUGGCAGGGAGACACAUCGGAAAAGUUUAAAUAAUGAAUUUAUUAUUUAAACUUUUUUUGACAUGUACUAUAUACGUUGACGAAAAGGUACCUUUCCCGACGUUUUCGGAGACGUCGAAGAAAGUUCACACUAUUUAUUCUCUCUUCAACACAGAAAAGAAUGCAAAACAAAAACAAACCAUAAAUUGACCGAGGGAGAGGAGGAGAGUUGUGUUGCCGUCGCCGUCGCCGUCCAUCUUCACCGCCGCCACCGCCGAAAGUGUCCUCUUUCCUUCUCCUUUUCUUUUUCGUUUUAACUUUUUCGCUUCAUUGUACCCUUUCAAAUAAUAGCAGAGCCAAAAUGUAGUGACAAUGUGUUUUAUUAUCAUAAUUUUUUUUUGCUAUUUUUACAAAUGUCCUAAUAUUUAUUAAUAAAGAUAAGGAAUUGAUUGUUACUAAUAUAUUCUCAGAAUUACUAUAUAUUUUUCUAAUGCACUGUUAUGAUGUGAAUCAUGAUUUUGGUUUCUCUGCUUGUUUCAGAAGUAACCCCAAAAGCAAUAAUUAGGAGGACGAUGGGAGUAAAAGGUCUCUCACCCUUCAUCACUUAAAAUCACACCUCCAAGGUUUGUUCGUUUCACCAUUCCGUGUGUUUGACGUUUUGCAUGAGAAGGAUAUCCUCCUUCAUUUCAUAGCUUAUGUACUUAUCAAAACAUUCUUUUCAUAUAUUUUUUUUAACUAUUUAAUUCAUUAUAAUGUAUUUAGGUUUGAAAACUCUUAGACUCACAUCAUUAAAAUUUAUUUGACUUACAAAAUCCAAUUAAGUUCCUUUGCUUUCGAAUCUUAGAAUAUAGUUACCCAACUUUUACUCUUUUAAAAUUGUUUUUUAUCUUCUUCUUUUGUAUUAAAUACAACUUACCCUGCUAAAAUUAUGGAUUUACUAAGCCAAUACAUUAUUCCCAUCAAAUUGUUUUAUUCCAUUUUCGUUUCUUUAUUAUUAUUAUUAUUAUUUGUCAUUGUAUUGUAUUUUAAUAUAAAAACUGAUUUUCAGAAAACUUGCGACUAAAUUUUGAAUUUGAUAACUAUAUAGUUUCCAAUAAAUCUUUAUUUAGAAAGAUCUUUGAAAAGGAGAAAAUAUAUAGAAUGUUGCUUAGAUUUCGUUUUACCCAUUUAGUAACUCUUAGAUAUUCUAAAACGUAAGAUAUGCCCUUCCAAAAUCCAAACACUCACUUUUUUUCUCUCUUUUACUUGUGAACCAUUAAUUAGGUCAAAUACGUACUCAGACAAAAUAGGUGAAAUUAGGUGAAAAUAAAAAAUAUAUAGAAUUCGUUCAAGUAUAAAAGAAUAAUUAUAAAACAUGAACAUUUUCAAACACACCUAAAUCUGGUUGCAAAAUUAAUAAGUAUAAUACAAUAGAUUUUUUUAAUUAUAUAUGGUUAAAAUUUAAUUUAAAAUAUUAUUUCUUGUUCAAUUAAUUAGACAAAGAUGUUGAUUAAAAUUCAACUUAAUUAUACUCAAUUAUAUAUUAUUACGUAAAUGUCUUAUAUGUAAAAUAUUAAAAGUAAUAUAAAUGAAUAUUUUAGUAGAAAUUUUUUUAAUAUACAUAAAUGAAUAUUUUAGUAGAAAAAUUUAUAUCAGGUAACAGUUUAACUAAUUUUGAAGGAACUAAAGAUAAUAAAUUUAAAUUGAAAAUAAAAUAUACACAUGCAUAUUGCAAAAUUUAAAAUUAAUAUUUAAAUAAAACAAGAUCAAAAUAAUAUAUAAAUUUAAAUAUUAAAUAAUUUAUAAUUCAAACUUAAAUUAAACAUGUAAAUAUUAAAAAACAAAAAAUAAAUGUAAGUAACUAGAAAAGAAGAUUUAAAACUAAAUAUGAAAUUUGAAAAUCAAAUAAUAGGUAAAUCUAAAUAUUAAAAAAUUAAAAUUAAAUUAAAUAUACAAAUAUGAAAAAUAAUAAAGAAAGGAAAAAUUCCCAACAUCCCUCCCUCCUCAACACAGUAUGAUUGACCAAAAUUUCAUGUAAUAUUUUUUGAAAUAACAUAAAGAAAAUCAUAACUAAAGUUGACUAUUCAAAGUAGGGCACCCAAAAUGUUAAUUUAAUUAGCAACAGCUCUCUAUAAAUACCCAUUUCAUGAACUACAAAAUUCCCCACUCACAUCUUAACACAUAUUAUUAUUAUCACUUUCCUACAACAAACAAAACUUCACGCAUUCCAAAUCCUUAAUUAUUCAAUUCUCUCCAAGAAACAAGGAUCCAAUGGCGACUGCUGUUAAUCAUAAAACCCUCGACUUGGAACCGGUCUCCUCCACUGGCAACUUUCCAGUUCAACGUUGCAACUCAUUCCGGUCUAAUAGCUUCAAAUUCAAGCGCCAAGCCGAGAAACCGCUCCUUAUUGAUGAUGAUGAUUCCUCCUUUGAUCGUGACGAGGAGAACAUUGAUUACUUCCGGGAUUUGAUCCGGAAGGGGAAAGAGGAAAUCGAGCCGUCGAUUCUUGAUCCGAGGGACCAGGGGACGGCGGAUAGUGGGAUCAUGAGGAAUCCUUGUAUGGUCCGGCUUACCGGAAAACACCCCUUCAACUCUGAACCGCCGCUGGACCAUCUCAUGCGCCAUGGGUUCAUUACUCCGGCCCCACUUCAUUACGUUCGUAACCAUGGUCCGGUUCCGAAGACUGAUUGGUCUAGCUGGACGAUUGACGUCACUGGACUCGUUGAAAACCCUACAUCCUUCACUCUCGACCAACUUGUCAAUAACUUCAGGUCCUCAAAUACCCAUUUUACUCAAAACCCUCCAAACUCAUUUCCAAACUAAUUCUUGUUUUUAUUUUUUAAUUUAAGUUUUUUCUUUUUUUCUAAAGUUUAAAAUUCAGUUAAUAAACACUCACUGUUUAUCUCGUAAACAAUUUUUUUUAAUAGCUAACAAAAAAAAGUUUUUAAAAAAUUGAUAUUUUGAUUUUAGGAUUUAGUCGGUACUUCCAAAACUAAGGGUUGAAGAUAGGAUAAAGAAAUAAACAUUGGUUUUUGAUUUUGUGUUUUUAAUAAUUAAGCUUAUAAAUAUUCUUUUUAGUGGAUUCUUUGAUUUGUUUUCUAACUUUCUAACAAUAUUUUAUAAAAUUAAAGUAUUCUUCUUUUAAAAAAAAAAUCAUUUUGUUAAAUUUGAUAGUACCAGUUCUAUCUCAAAACCAAUGAGAGAAGUAGUAUCUUUUUAAAUGGAUUUUCAACUUCUCCAACAAAUUUUAAAUCUAGCUCUUUUAAUUAAAAAUUGAAACUUGUUAUACAAGUUUGAGAUAAAAUAGACUGAACUACUUAUUUUUAAAUUUACAAAUCAAUGUUUGUUUAAUUUUCUUUAAUGAAUUCUUUUAAGAUUUAUGAGGUACUUAGAAAUAAUGUAUCUUAGCGCAGGAGAGCUUCAACAAAACAUCUGUAUCAUCACUUUAUUUCUUUCUUAAAAAUAAACACAAAGACAAAACCCAUAGGAUUUCUUUUAAAAAUUUUCUUUUUAGUUAUUAAAUUUAGGUUGACAUUUUGAAAACGUUUUUUUUUAAAAUAAUAAUAAAAGAGGAAAGUAGAGUUAUGACAAAACAAAGCAAUUCAAGAGCAAAACUAAAACGUCAUAAGCUUAUUUUAUUUUAUUUUUUUAAAAUACAAGUUUUAAAAUAUAGAACAAAACCCCCACACAAUUGAGUAAUUGACUAUUGAUAUAUAUAAGAAAUUGAGAACAAAUGAAAUUACAAUCAUAUUUAAAUUCAACAACUUAAAUAUGUGGGAUAUGAUUAUUUCUAACCCUUUAUUCAUAUUCUUAAAGCAGAUCUCUAGAGUUUCCGGUUACCAUCAUGUGCUCCGGCAACCGACGGAAGGAGCAAAACAUGGUGAAACAAACCAUCGGAUUCCACUGGGGAGCCGCCGUGACCUCCACCUCACUGUGGCGGGGAGUUCCAUUACGCGAAGUACUGAAACGGUGCGGCAUCUUCAGCCGUCAAAGAGGAGCCUUAUACGUAUGGAUGGAAGGCGCGGACAAUCUCCCUGGUGGUGGCGGCUGCAGCUACGGCACCAGCAUAAGAAGAGAAAUGGCAAUGGACCCAUCAAGAGAUAUCAUAAUAGCAUACAAGCAAAACGGCGACCCACUCCCGCCAGACCACGGCUUUCCGGUUAGGAUGAUCGUCCCGGGGUUCACUGGCGGCCGCAUGGUCAAGUGGCUCAAACGAAUCAUCGUCACCAAUAGAGAGUCUGACAAUUAUUAUCAUUUUAUGGACAACCGUGUCCUUCCAUCCCACGUGGAUUCUUCCGAGCUGGCACAUGCUGAAGGUGAUAUAUUUAUUUAUUAUAAUUUAAUGAUUAAUUGACAUUUUCUAAAAUUUACUAAUUUUUAAAAACUAUAUACUCAAUAUUUAUUUAGGUUGGUGGUACAAACCGGAGUACGUUAUCUACGAAAUGAACAUAAACUCUGUGAUAACAACACCGUCACACAACGAGACGUUGUUGAUUAAUUCAGAGACGACACUAUCCACCUACACGUUAAGGGGAUACGCAUAUUCCGGUGAGUAAGAAUUAGUAAUGUGAACACAAUUAUUGUAUAAUUUUCUAUUUGAGAUUUAUUUUUGUUUUCUUGGUGUAGGUGGAGGGAAAAAGGUGACACGUGUACAGGUGACGUUGGACGGUGGGGAGACGUGGAAGAUAUGUAAUUUGGAGUACCAUGAGAAGCCAAACAAGUAUGGGAAAUAUUGGUGCUGGAUCUUUUGGUCAGUCGACGUGGAAAUAUUGGACCUGUUUGGAUCUAAGCAAAUUGCUGUCCGAGCAUGGGAUGAAACAACCAACACACAGCCAGAAAAUCUUAAUUGGAAUCUCAUGGUAAUUAUUAAUAAUUAUGUUUCUAUUUCUACAUUAAAAAUAUAUUAUAGUUAAUGAAGUUAUUAUCGUCAGAAAAAUCUUACAAAAUCUAUGACCCAUGCACACAUAUGAAACUAAAACAAUAAAAUUUUAACUAAAUCAUAAGAAACCUGACAUAUAAUGUCCCUUUCUUCAGCCUUCUUCAACUACCUAUUUUUUAUUCCAUCUUUUAAAACACAGAUAUUUCUUCUUCUUCCCACCUUUUAGCUUGACUUUCCUAUUUCUCACCCUCUCAUCCAUAUGCUUUAAUUCAAAGAAAAAGUUUCUUACAAAAUAAUUAUAUUUAAACUGCAAUAUGUAUAGUGAGACUCAAUGGUUUGAUAAAUUAAAGAAAACACACGGUUUUUGCAAUAAAAAUAUACCCAGGUUGAAUAAUAUAAUAAAUAAUUGAUAACAUUAUAAAAUAGUGACAUAAAUGGGAAGAAUGAGAACAUUUUAUCGUAAUAAAAAGUUUAUGUAAGGAUGACGCAAAUUAAAUAACCGGUCAAUUUGAGAAAAUAAAAAUAAAUAUAUGUACAAAUGUAAACCCUUUUUUGUAUGGUGAUAGUAGAAUACAUAUUAAUUCUACUUUAUUUCAAACAAUAAUACUCGAUCAAUACAUACUGCCAAAAAUAUUGUUUUUUCUUAAAAGAAAAAGUACCAAUUAAUAUAGAAAAAGUACGACUUCAACGUUAUCAUACAAAAAUUUAUGAACUCUCAUAAUUAAUAUAGUAAUAAUAGUCCUAGAGAAAGAAUCAUAAGAGAAGAGAUGUUGCGGAAACGUACAUUCGUUUUAGUAGUUUUUUAGUUUUUUUCGUGGGUUUUUUCUACAGUUUUUAUUUUUUUUAAACUUUUGAAAAACCCCUUUUUAUUAAAAAAGAUAAAUAAUAAUAAUAAUUUUUCAUAGAGGAAUACUAUAUGAGAACACAUUUUCUACCACAGCUUGUUGAUAAUAAAAGUACAAAAAUGUUUGGAUGCAGGGGAUGAUGAACAACUCAUGGUACCGAAUCAAGAUAAACAUAUGCAAACCCCAAAAAGGAGAGAUCGGGAUCGUGUUCCGCCACCCAACAGUCGCCGGCAACAAUGCCGGCGGCUGGCAGGAAAAGGACAAACCCAAUCCGACCGACGAGUCCCCUUCCCAACAAAAAGACAACAAGAGCACCACCACCUUCUCCAUGUCGGAAGUCAAAACCCACAACUCGUCCGAAUCGGCUUGGAUCGUCGUCCAGAACCAUGUCUACGACUGUACUCCUUUUCUCAAAGACCAUCCAGGCGGCGCAGACAGCAUUCUCAUCAACGCUGGCACAGAUUGCACGGAAGAGUUCGAGGCUAUCCACUCCGACAAAGCCAUUAAAAUGCUUGAGGACUACAAAAUCGGAGACUUGUUGAUCCUAAACGACAACAAGGACGCAACGUCAUCACCCAAAGCAGUUACUCAACACGUGGCUCUGAUCCCUCGUGAGAAAAUCCCGGUGAAAUUGAUUUCGAAAACUACAAUUUCUCACAACACGAGAAUUUUCAGAUUUGGUCUUUCUUCGGAAGAUCAAAGAUUAGGACUACCCGUUGGAAAGCACAUAUUUUUAUGCGCCAAUGUGGAUGGGAAACUAUGUAUGAGAGCCUACACACCGUCAAGCGCCGUUGACCAAACGGGCUACUUCGACUUAGUCGUAAAAAUCUAUUUCAAGAACGUUCAUCCCGAUUUCCCCAACGGUGGCCUUAUGUCACAGUAUCUUGACUCGCUCCCGUUGGGAUCAAUGGUGGAAGUGAAAGGCCCAUUGGGCCAUAUAGAGUACAUGGGGCGCGGCAACUUCAGAGUCAACGGAAAGCCCAGAUUGGCCAAGAAGCUUGCCAUGGUGGCAGGUGGGACUGGGAUAACGCCUAUAUAUCAAGUGGUGCAGGCGAUUUUAAAAGAUCCGGAGGACGAGACGGAGAUGUUUGUUGUAUAUGCGAACCGGAGUGAGGAGGAUAUUCUGCUUAGGGAAGAGUUGGAAACAUGGGCGAAGGAGAAUGAGAGAUUGAAGAUUUGGUAUGUGGUGAAGGAUGGGGUUCAAGAAGGGUGGCCGUACAGUGUGGGAUAUAUUAGGGAAGAUAUUCUGAGGGAGCAUAUUCCGAUGGGGUCACCACAGACUUUGGCUUUGGUCUGUGGGCCGCCUCCCAUGAUUGAGCUCACAGUUAAGCCCAUACUCAAGAAUUUGGAGUAUGAUUUAGAAGGUUCCUUGUUGGUGUUUUGAUCUUUUUACUAAUUACCUUUUCAAUAUUAUUAUAAUUAUUUUGUUUGUUGUAAUAAUUACUGUGAAAGUGGGUUAAAAUUCAAUUUAUAUGAUCUUAUUCAUUUGUAAUAAUUAUGAUCACUUCAAUAAUAUUCUUUAUGUUGGUUUUUCUAUUCACUUUUCUGUGUUGUAUGAUAGAUUGAUUGAUGAUACAUGUGUUGAAAUUUUAAGUUAAAAGAAUAAUAACAAUAAUAAAAGCUAGGGAAUAGUUUACUAUUAAUUCAUUCACUCAUUUUCAUUAAUUCUACUAAUAUUACAAUUUGGACCAACUAAUGGUAUGGUAAACUCUUUUACCUCCCUAUCACCUCUAUUUAGUAUGUUUUAAAUGUAUAAAAACUUAUUGAUAGUAUUGGACAAAUAAACAAUCACAUUAAUUUAUUUUUUUAAAUGUCAAAAUUACCCUCUCUUCUUGCGCCUCUUCCUUCCUCUUUCCUCUUCCUCAACACCUUUCUUAUGUCAAAAAAAAAAAAAAAAAAAAAAAAAAAAAAACUGUCAGUCCAAACUCUCAUCUUCUUCCUUGUUUUUCUUCCCACCUUCUUCUUAUGUUUGGAAAGCUCUACCAAAACCACACAGGCUGACUAAACCCCUAAUAACCAAGAUCCAAUAUCAUUGUUGAAAUCCACCUCUCUUCAUCAGAGUUAAUCACACUGAAAUACCCACCUGUAGAUUGAAGAAAACCACGUUGAACGGAACUACCCUUGUCGAAAAAAACCCCCUUUUUCUGCUAGACCCUCGCUGAUGAAGAAUACCCUGACAACCACACUGUAACAACUUCAAUUGCUCUUGAAAAUCUGCAUAAUUCUCAAUAUAAUUUCUUAUGCAAAUAUCCUCAUUUUGGCUUUUACGAUAAGAGCCUUACAGUGGAUGAAGGUUCACUAGUUUACAAAAUUGUCAUCGGUGCAUGUACUUAAUACUGUGACAAUAAAAAAAGUAAUGAGAAGGUAAUCAAAUAAGCAGAAGGUAAUCAAAUUUAAUGAUUAUUUUAGAAGGCUAACUAAAAUUAAAAAAAAUUUAAAUGUAGAAGGUGACGCGCAUUGAGAUAAUCUACGUUUGUUAUUUGUUAAGUAAAUGAUUUUGAAGAAAGAGUUUUUGAGAAUUUAAGUGUUUUGAUGCUUAGCAUUGAGAUAAGGUGACGUGGGGAGAAGGAGAAGGUGAGCAAGACUAAGUAGGCAGUUUGAGGAUCAAACACGAGCUGAAGUUAGGCGUUGAAAGGUAGGCAGUUUGAGGAUCAAACACGAGCUGAAGUUAGGCGUUGAAAGGUAGGAUUUUUUCUAGAAACUUUCUAAUUGUACUUAAUGGGUGAAGUGUGUAAGAGUUUAAACUAAGUAUGGUCAUGAAAAUAUUAAGCUUACGUGUGUAGUACUUUAAGCAGAAGCUGGUGAGUUAAUUAACAAGAACUUACGGAUGACUAAUCUAAUUUGGAUUAGUAUAUAAAUAGGGAAAAAGGGUCGGUUAUGAAAAAUGUAAUGCUAAAGUAUUUGAAGUCACUCUAAGUCAGUAGGCAAGAAGGUCUUUUAGAACCUAGGCGUUCUAAAGACAAAAUUUAUGUUGUGAGUGAUUUUCAAAUAUCAUUUAAAAAUUUUGAAAGCUUCCUUCUGAUUGUAAUGAUUGCUUCUUAUAAUAAUGUUCAUGAAAGAAAUGUUUUCUAAAGAAAGCUUUAAUGUUAUGCUCCAAGUAAAGUUUUAUGUAUGUUAAAUGUAUGCUAUGUUAUGUAUAAAUCAUUAGUCUUAUUUCUAUCAAUGAACUAACUAUUAAUGUGCAUAGAAGAAAUAAAGGCAUCUAUGUAUAAAAUUAUUGCAUGGUGUAAGUGAAGUUAGCUAAUGCGUAAAAGGAAAUACUGAGCUUAGCGGCUUAAGCAACAUGAAGUGAACCACGAUAUUCUCCAAGGGAUGUUGUUGAUGAAAAGGACAUCACAGUAUUCCAUAUGGGGGAAUAGUUAAUGUUCUUGAAAGAAAGGAAUAUGAAAGACUAAUGCAUGUUUUAUGUUCUACGAAACAGACAUUGAGCCUGUUUACUGAAAACCUUUUAACGCAUUGUAUGUCUGAAAAGGUUUUCCAAAACUAACAUUCGCUAAGUUUUUACUUACGCUUUAAAGAUUUUUCUCUCCCAAGUCACCAUGCGUUAAGGCCAAGGUUGGGAUAAGGAAGGUGAACUACCAAGCAGUGAAGCUAAUGCAAGACUUUUAAGAUUAUUGUUCUAGUUGUUGUAUUUAAGAAGCAUGCAAAUUGUGUUGUUGUGUACAUUAUGUUAAGUUAAGAGAAGAGUUGGUUGAUUAUUUUCCGUUGCGUUAUGUAAACUCUAUUCGCCUAAAGCUUAAGUUCAAGAAGUUAGGUUGAGCAUUCUGGGGUUUCAUCUUGAGGCAUUAGAACUUGCUCAAGUCACAUCGCACGCUGCAUUGCAAGAUUUGGGAUGCGUGCGAGACAAGGUGUGACAAAUCAGAUCACAAUCAUAAUGGAACAAAAAAUCUUACUAAUUGACAUAAAAUGGAAAGUAAUCAUAUCACAAUGUAAUGGUAAUCAGAAACUACUUAAUAAUUGAUAAAAGCUUGAUGGUAAUGAGAUGAAUAUCAGAUUUUACUUAGUAAUUAUAAAAAAAAAGAUGUAAUGUCAUUAGAUUGCAAUUAGUAUCAUUUACAAAUAAUUAAAAAUCAAUAUUAAAUUAAAUAAUAACAAGAUGGUAAACUAGUAUCAUUAACAAUCAAAUAACAAUGAACACUAAAUAACAAUAAGAGAGUAAUCAGACAACAAUCAAAUAACAAUUGAUAUCAUUGAUAAUCAAAUGAAAAUCUGAUAACAAUUAGAUGAUAAUCAAAUGUCAGAACUUGAUUCCAUGUUCUGUAUCAGCUUAGUUUUGAUAAUAGUUGACAAUUUGAACUACGGUAAACAUUAUGAGAACAUUUGAACUAUUCAUGUUGUUACUAUCUUUCAAAACUUUCAAUGAAUUCCUCCUUGAUAUAGCAUCUCUUGAAUGCAUUAGAACCUAAAGUUGAUCCUUCUUACACAAGUAAGACAUAAAUAAAUUCUAUAUUUUGGUUACAAACACUUGACACCAUUUAUGGUUAUUUCAUUUUUUUCGUGUUUUAUAUGUAGGUCUUCAAUGGUAUUGACACUAACCUUAAUAUGAGUUCCAUCUAAUGCUCCCACACAAUUCUAUAAAAAAAAAAAAAACAAUUGUUUUACUUCAUUCAAACAAGUAUCACUAUUGAAAAAUGUUAAAACUUACUACUUCAAGUCAUACCUCAAACCAUCUCCACUUUUCAUUGGAUGAAUUUACCUCAAACCAUCUCCACUUUUCAUUGGAUGAAUUUGUAGAUACAUGACUUGGUUUCUUUAGGAGGAAUUCAGGAAGACACAAUAUUGAGUUAAGAACUUCAUUAAAGAACAUAUUAACUUAUGAGACCUUGAUCGCGUUUUGAAGCUACACGUUAAGACCACAUGCAACAAAACUUAUAUGUGUUAAGAUUGCAUGCAAUGAGAGCUGGUGAAUAACACAAAGAUAGUGCCAGAAAACAUGAAGAAUAUUUCAACUUUCAACAUUCACUGAUAUGGGUUAUUAGAAGUUAUCUUCUAUGUCCAACAUCUAUAAAAGGCCAAUGAAGUCUUUUUUUCAAAUCAUCAUCUAACUAGCCAAAUAAGCUACUAGAUUGAAAUUUUUGUUGGAACUUAUGGCACUCUAGUUAACAUUCUAAGAUUGAGAUUGUAUUUUAAUCAUCUUUGGUGACAAACACUUGUAUGGAUUCAAUCAACUAAGUGUGAGAGACCUUAAAAUCAAUCAAAUAACAGAUUGAGAUAUCAUAGGAGUACAAUUUAAGUAAUUUCUUUACAGAGAAAGUGAAGAGAUUUAAGAGAGUUCGAAAGAAUCCUAUCUAGUAUCAUUUCAUUGAGACUUUGUAUAAAACCUUGACUUAAAGCUAAGAGCAGGAAAUUGUUACAGCUGCAAUUCCUUCUAUCAUAUUCAUUUGUUACAAUUCCUUCUAUAAUUGUUACAACAUCAUCAUUCUUUUGUCUUUUUAUAUUUUCUUAUUAAUCACAUUCCAUAGCUAAAGUUAUUGUUUUGUUGUCGACACUGAUUUCUCACUUUGUCAUAGCAGCUUAAUUAAUUUCAUAGGAGAAUGAGAUUAGUACAUAGUAAGUUGUGAAGCAUGCGUUGGCAUUCAUAGUCAUAUGGAUGCGAUAUCCUAUUCCUAACUGUUGACCCCAAUACCAAUUCGAAUCAAGUGGUAGCAAUUAACUGCUCGAGCAAAUAAGUGAUUGCAGAAUUUAUUAAGUCGGGUAAAGAAGUUCUCUUUAUUUCUGGACUAACCUUAGCAUGCAUCAUAAAAAUAUGACACAUGUGGCUAACUCAUUGAACGGUGGAGACAAUGCAAGGCUACAAAUAUAAAUAUGACGCUAUCACAUCAUUCACUUCACUUCAUCCUUUGAUCUUAUUCAUCUCUUUUUUAGUGUUGUCACUUACUUGUCACACUCUCUUUAAAUUAGAACACAUACUUUUUUAUAGUUAAAAAUAAAACUACACCUCCUAUAUUUGAUAAACACUCAGUUGCACAGACAACAUUUUUCGAUCUUUUUAACUAUAUGUUGUUUAUUUUUCGUGUUUGACCUCGAAUCAUUUUCAAAAAACCUUUGCUUAACUUACACUUGGGGUUAUAUAUAGAAAAACUUGUGGUAGAGCAUUACCAACACUUUUAAAAAUGCAUUACUAAUAUUCACACACCUCUAUCACAUCGCAUAUUACACCAUCGAGUAUUUUAAACACCAACUACCUGCACUAUUAUUUUCCAUCCAAAUACUUUUCUUCACCUUCUCUAAAUCUUUGAGCAAUUGAAUAAAAGUUUGUGAUGCAUGCUCAAACAACUAUUCAUUUAUGCUACUGUCAAGUAAUUUGACAAUCAUCACGAUCUAGUUACAAAUUGACUCUUUGAUUUUUUCACUUGUCUCUAUUUGAUUCUCAAGUUCACUUGAAACUCUAGCCUCUUUAAAUAUACGUUAAAAGAAUUAGGUUAAUAAUUUUCUUCUCAAGCACCUUAAGUGCACGGGUAUAUAAAAUUCCAACAAAAGUAAAUUUUAUGGAACUGGACGUAAUAAUGAUAUAAAAAUUUCACCAUCCAUUAUCCCAUGUAUGAACCCUUUAUACAUUUCACUCACGUAUCUUCAUAUGAACAAUACAAUUCAUAUUGUUUGUAACAUUUACAUCUCAUGUAACAAUUACAAAGUGGGUCGUAACCAAAGACCUUUUAGAUUAUAACUUGAACACAUGAAUUAUUUGUAUGUCAUCCACGUAUUAUUUGACUAACAUUAUAUAUAACGUGGGUCUUUGUUUAUUGAAUUGAAUUAAUAUUGUCUAAAAGUAAAAUAAAAUAUUUCAGGCUUUCUUAAAUAAAUAAUUUUUGUUUAAUGAAAACUACUAACAGUGAGAUUUUAGGACACUAGUUUACAUAAAUAUCAACAGGGGAUAACAAUGAAGUGCAUGUGAGUUAAGUUCGAUAUCCAUAUACCUAUGAAAAUGGGAAGAACAGGUACAAUGUAAAAUUAAGAGUGUCUUAGUUAGAUACCCUGGAGUUACAGGGUUUUAAGUGCGCAAACCAUCGUUAUGUAAACCAAGCACAUAUAUCAAUCUAACAAAAUAAAGAUUAUAACUCCCAAUACGUACUAGAAUCAUAAAUUGCAUGUUACUUCAUGGGCUCCAACUUGUGAGUGAGAGGUCAGUGUUGUGGGUAAUUUUUUUAAGAAGUUUCGUGGCCAUUAAAUUAGUCGAGGAAAGAUAGCUAGAGCCUAAGCAAUACAUUAUAAGACGAAAAGGAGGUUUAGGAAAGAGAAAGAAAUGGGUAGAAAAAGCUUAUCUGAGAUUCUCAGCUUAGCUUCCACCAAAGUCGGGCCUAGUGAAUUAGCUUGGGAACUUUUCCAUUCAUUCCACCUAGAACAAUAAUGAAAGAGAAAAUGGCCAUGGAACUAUUUCAUUUGCCCUAUCUGGUCUAAUGAGCAUUCAAAAGCCUCCCAGAUGCAUAGUUUUUAAACAGAAUCGUGAGAGGAUUACAGCAUAUGAUAACGCCUGCCAUGACAACUCCUUGGAGAAGGAGGUGAAUUCUUCUAUCCUAAUAUUUUCUUUUUCUUUUUUGGUUCGUUUAUUGAUUUAAGCAUUAGAGUGUGGGUUGGCAUCCAUCACACCAAUGUCUAAAACUCACAUUUUUUUUUCCAAGGAUUUUGAUUUCUUUCCAUCAAUUCACCGUUGCUAUCUUGUUCAAAUUUCAACAUCAAUAACAUAAAAACAUGGUUAAAUUUAUGAAUAGUGUAAUUUAAUAAACAAAUGACAAAUUUGUGGUAGUUUUGAAAUAAAUAUUGAAAAUAAAUAAAUUGAAUUUGGGGGAGAUGCAAAAUAUUGACAGAAAAACAACAACCAUGAAUUGAUAAUGAAAUAAGGUUAAUUUUGAUUACAUCACCUUCUUAAAUUGAUUAUUAAUUAACAAACUUUUUAAUUAAUUAAUUAUAUCACAACUGUAAAGAAAUAUAUUAUAAUGUUAAGAUAAAUAUCUUUGUAAUUGUUUAAAGCCCUUUCUGCAGAUUCAUUUCUAGUGCUUUUUUUUUUCCACGAAGAAAGCGAAGGCACUACAACUACACUUCAAUUAUAUCGUGAACCAUUGAAUAUUAUUCAAACUUCUAUUCUUAUCAUUGGCUUUUUUUUUUUUUUUUUUAUUGCUUCUAAAUUACAAAAUUCUCCAUUAUAAAAAUGACUGAAACUCAAUUACUUUAAUUCACUGGCUCAAAUCUAAAGCAAAAAUUAAAUAAUUAAAAAAAGAAUAGCAAAUAUUUUAUCACCAAGUUGAUAUAUUUUAAUCCUGGCUUAAAACAAAAAAGAGAGUUUGAGAAAUGUAAUACCAUCCUUCAGUUGACAGCAAAAAAAAAUGUCAACUAUAGUAAUAAUUGUAUCGUUCUAUUCUUAAAAAGGUUAUUCGUGGACAUUAAGUAAUACGAAAAUAUAAGAUGUAAUAAACAUAGAUAUGCAUUUACUCCAAAAUAUACUCUUAUAGUAUUAUAUUUAUUUCUACCGUACAAAUUGAUUAAGGGUAAAAUAUAUUUUCUAUAAAAGUAGAGAAUUCGUUCGUUUGAUCUUCAACCAUAAACCUAACGAAAAACUGGAAGAAAAGAUACAUACAAGAUAUAUGCGUUUGUGUGUGUGUAUUCUAAGUCUUCAUUAAAGAGAAAGCUAAGGUUUGUCAAUCUGAGAAACACCAGGAAGAUGAGAAUGGGAAAUAUCUGAUAUAUUUUCAUUUAUGUCCACAUAUUAAUGUAAAGUAAAGUUGUCCUGAAAUUAAAAACUGUCUCAAAUGAACAUGUAUUGGAAAAGCUUUGUCCAAUGGCAACGUUGAUUUGAAAUGAAGUUCCAAAAAGGACGAGUAAUGAAUGUAAAUUAAUUAGGAGAGAUUAUGAAUGUGAUGGGGAGUUCAAAUAAUUAUAUAUGGAAGUCCUUGUGAUAUUUUUGCAAACUGUGUGGAGGGCCAUGCAUUCUUUUAGCCUCCUUUUCUUUGAUUUGACACUUCACUCACGUUUUGGCCCAACAACACGACACCCUAACUUCCAAUUUACAAAAAAGAACUGAUUUACUUUAUUAUUUACUCUUUCAAUGUGAUUGAUGCCCAAUUUUAAACUCUUUACUUUCUCCAGGAUAUGAGAUCUCUCACAUUAGGCAUAAUCACAAUUUUUGUAAUAUUCACCUCUAGUUUUUAGAUAUUGUAAUUUCCUUCCUACUUAAGUCAAGUCGUUGUGAUUUGGCUUAAUUUCGUGUUUAUAUCAAACCUUUGAGGAGAGAAUUAUUAGUAAACCAACAUAGGAUGAAAGUAAAAAGUUAAUUCUUCUAUCCUAACUCUUCUUCUUUUUUUAAUUAAAGUUGAAAAGGAAGAGAUGUAUCUUAGAUUUUGGUGUUUGCCUACCCAAACAAUAAAAUAAACAUUCCUCUCUCACUUUUUCAAAAUACUUUUUUAAUAAAUAUUUAAGAAAAGAACACAAAUUGGCUAUAUAUAUAUAUAUAUAUAUAGUUAUAGUUAUAUAUAUUGUGAACUGCCCCUUAUGACAAGAGGUAUCUUCACCUUUAUUAAUAUUAUAAAUGUAUAUUGAAAGGCAGACAAUGAAUAGGCCAAAUUUGUUCCACCCAAUGUCUUUGGAGUCAUUUUCCACGUUGUAGGGUGAUCAAGUCCAAAGGUAAUAUAAUAUGGUUCCUAUUUUCAUAAGAAGCAGUACAAUUAUCAAAUUGGGUGCAAUUAUAAUAUUAUUAUUAAUUCCUUAAAAUAGUGUGUGAAUAAAGUUUUCUUUCCUUAAAUUAAUUAAUAUAUGGCUGUCACUUGUUAAAAUGUCCAUUAGUCAAGCCAAACACCCUAAUUAGCUGCCUUCCACAAUGUCUUCCUGUUCAACAUGGGACUAAUCUCAAUUAGACUUAACUAAACUAUUCUAUACCUAAAUAUCAUUCUACCAUAGAAAAUUCAACUCCACCUUCCCUUUUUUUUUUUCUUCUUAAUCUUUCCCUUUCUUUCUUAGUUAGUUAGUGGGUGAGUCAAAUUAAAGUUUUAACUUCUAAAAAUAAAUAUUAAUACAAUAAAUUUUUAAAAAAUAUAAAUUUUACAAAAUAUUUUCAAUCUAUAGUAAAUUCUAUAACAAAUAGUCAUUGACAUGCUAGAAUAAUCAAAGACUAUUAGUGAUAGAAUCUAAAAUUUUGCUAUAGUUUGUAAAUAUUUUAAUUUAUUUUGCUAUUUUUAAAAAUACCCUUAUUAAUAUAAACAUACUACAUCACAUCAUUUGUAGGGAAAAAAAAAUGAAGAAAAACAGACCAACAAAAAAAAAAGAAAUCAUCCAUGGAUUUAACAAAGUCUAAAAUAGCUACUUUUAUUUUUAUUAAGAUUUAAGAAGUAAAAUAAAUAUGUUUUUAAAAAUAUUAAAAAAAUUUGGAAAUAAAAACUAAAUUUAAACUCAAAAAAUUUAUCGAACUUGUGGUGUAAUAUAAACAUCUAGACACACUAACAUGAUUCACCAAAUAAGAUGAGAUGGAACCCUGGGAGUCUUUUCAAGGAGAAAAGAAAGUAAUGGUAUUUGGAUGGAUUGAGUUAUAUGAAACUAUUUUAAAUGGAAAGAUAAUGGAAAAUAAUUAUAAAAUAUAGUAAAAUAUUAUAUAUCACAAUAAAUAAAUUGUACAUGUAUGUAUUUAAAAUUGGUUCAUCUUAAAAUUGGUUAACUUAAACAGUAAUUUAAGGUAGAAAGAUUGAGAUACAAAAUAAUUUAGAAAUAUUUAUUUGGGUAGAAGGAGUUGGGGUUAGGUAUGUAGAAUAGAAGAAAAAGGGUGGGAAAAUGUAGUAGUGGAUUGUGGUGGCGGUGGGUAAAUAAAAGGAGGAGUAAAGUGGAAUCUAAAAAUGAGGAUGAUUCCAUGCGUGUGGCGGCCAUAAAAAAGAAGAAGGAGAAAGAGAGAGAGUAGGGUCCGGAGAUUGUGGAAAAGAUGGAAGCCAGGGAAAGGAAACUAAACUAGGUUUUAAAUUGGCCUUUGAGUUCCCCAAAUAACAAUGGGCCCAUUUUCAUUUUCCCAUUACUCGCCCCUUCGCUUGCUACGCGGCUAACAUUCCUUCUUCCUUCUUUCAUUAAUCACAUGCCCCAUUUUUAUCAUCCUUUAAUUUCAUCUUCCCAAUUCAUUCUACCCUUCCCUUUUUACAAUUAUUACAUUCAUGCAUCUUUCCUUAUACCUUCCCAAUUCAUUCUACCUUCUUCAUUCUUUAAAUCACCCUACCCUCCUCCUUUUUCCUUCUCAUUACUUAUUUCUAAAAUACCUCUCUAUAUGCAUCUUCCCUUAAUACACGUUCCACCAAAAUUCUCACAUCUCUAUAAACUCCGCAUCUACAUUACUGUACUUGUUUUAUGGAUAUUGUGCACCCUUUACAAGUUUGCGGUGUAUUCUUUGAAUUCAAAUAUUGGUUUUCUCUAUUCCUCUGUUUAGGACAACUCCUAUAUAUUACAUUUUUUUUUCAUUUUAUAUGGUUAAAAAUAGAUACUAUCAAGUAUGUAUUAAACUCACCCGCAAAUUUAGUAUAGGCUAAGGAGACUUGUCUUUAUAUAAUAUGUAUAAACAAAAUCAAUUAAUACUUAAUAUUAAUUGAUAGUUUAGUGGUAAUAAUGCGUUCAAGUCUUAUUUGUAUAGUUUUUUUUCAAAUUUUUAUUUUUUUUUUAAGUUACAACUUCAAACCCACUGUCAAUAAAUUUUCUGGACAUAAACUAAGUAUAUUGGAUAACUUAAUUUUAGGCAUUUCAAGAUUUUGUUCAUCUACAAUUCUAGAAAAAAUAUUGUACUUGAGGGUGAUUGAAACAUUAUAUUGUCCAGUGUAACUAGUAGCUUUUAUAGUAGGUGAGUUUAUUGGAUCAAUCCAUAUUAUUUUAGUGUAAGUUAUUUAUAAAAUAUACCAAAAUUUUAUAAUCUACCAUAUUUUGUGAAUAUUUGUUAUAAUGUGUCAUUUCCAAUAAUUUCCUUUUUUCAUAGUAUUUUUUUUUUCUACUAGGAUGAGUCAUAGUUUUUUCUAGUUUUCUUACCUAAAUUCAUGUGUUUAUUAGGUACUAUUAUUUGUUAUUUUCUUUUCAUUCCUCACUUAUGUUUGUUUAAUAAUUUGUGGUGGAAUUAAGAUUGCUUUGAGUACAUGAGGGCAAAUUAUUCAAUGCAUAAAAUCUUAAUUUAAAAAUUAUAUCUUAAUUAUUAGUGUCACAAAUUUGUGUUGCCGUGUUAGGUUGUUUUUCAAGUUUUUCAUUCAGAUACUCCAUCACCUACAUAUAUAUAUAGUUAUACCAACAUUUUAGAUAUAUGAUAUCAAAUAUUGACAUAAACGCCAAAGAAUCCUGAAAAUUUUUAAUAUUAAGAAUUCAUAUAUUCAACAACUCGAGUUUAACAAAACCAUGUUUGAAUGCAGAAUUUUCUUUGCUAUGGUUUUCUAUGUUUUUUCUUUUAAUUUUCUAUCUCUUGUUAUCUUGAAGCUGAUCAUCUCCCCUAGUGGACAAUUUGGUAUUUGAAUUGACAUUUUUGUCAUUUCCCUGUUCCCCCACGAAUAAGUUCCCUUCAAAAUUCUCCACAUAUUUUCCUACACAAAUGAACCAAUUAAUUUCUUCUUCGUUAAUUUCAAAUAUAUACCAAAAUGAAAAUAAUGAAAAUAAUGAAAUAAUAGGUGAGAAAUGUUAAUGAAUUAAUUAUCGUCCCUUAAUUGCAUGUAGACAUCCAAACAAUAAUAGGAGAAAAAGAAGGGUAUUUACAACUUAAUAUUCACAUAUACUAAUUAUUUUACAAAACGAAUCCAACGUCCUUUUCUUCAAUUUUCGAUUUCCAUUGAAGAAAGAAAAAAACAAAGAAAAAAAAAACAUUUUAUUAAAAUUAAAAUUUUAUUAUUUUCGUCUGUCUCUGUCUACUCAAAACACCAACAUGGAAUUCUUGGUGUCGUAAUUCAUCUUCUCCAGAUUGGGCUGCACUGCAAAUUGAAUCAUCGGCGGCGGCCCAC
Molecule: long non-coding RNA, 26135 nt
Filed under: Cucumis sativus (cucumber)
Lineage: Eukaryota; Viridiplantae; Streptophyta; Magnoliopsida; Cucurbitales; Cucurbitaceae
Description: long non-coding RNA (CSAT_LNC001971)
Source: RNAcentral